CAAUAGCGUAUAUUAAAGUUGUUGCAGUUAAAAAGCUCGUAGUUGGAUUUCUGGUUGAAGCGACCGGUCGGGCGUUGAUUCGUCUGCACUGGAGUCGGUUUUGGCCAUCCUCUAGGAAAGUGCGUCUGGUAUUAAGUUAUCGGGCGUAUGAUCCUGGUCUUUUACCGUGAAAAAAUUAGAGUGUUUAAAGCAGGCCUUCGCCUUGAAUACAUUAGCAUGGAAUAAUAAGAUAGGACUUUGGUCUAUUUUGUUGGUUUGCAGACCGAAGUAAUGAUUAAUAGGGAUAGUUGGGGGUAUUUAUAUUCCGAUGUCAGAGGUGAAAUUCUUAGAUUUUCGGAAGAUAAACUUAUGCGAAAGCAUUUACCAAGGAUGUUUNCAUUAA
Molecule: ribosomal RNA, 382 nt
Filed under: uncultured eukaryote
Lineage: Eukaryota
Description: partial 18S ribosomal RNA
Rfam family: Eukaryotic small subunit ribosomal RNA
Source: RNAcentral